RNAcentral lists this ribosomal RNA (405 nucleotides) under uncultured bacterium. Its description in RNAcentral is "partial 16S ribosomal RNA". It matches the Rfam family "Bacterial small subunit ribosomal RNA", at positions 30 to 526 of the family's 1533-position model. The record is from RNAcentral.
AUUGAACGCUAGCGGGAGGCUUAACACAUGCAAGUCGAACGAGUGGCGGACGGGUGAGUAAUGCUUGGGAAUCUGGCUUAUGGCGGGGGAUAACUACGGGAAACUGUAGCUAAUACCGCAUACCAUAGGAUGAGCCCAUGUGGGAUUAGGUAGUUGGUGGGGUAAAGGCUCACCAAGGCGACGAUCCCUAGCUGGUCUGAGAGGAUGACCAGCCACACUGGGACUGAGACACGGCCCAGACUCCUACGGGAGGCAGCAGUGGGGAAUAUUGCGCAAUGGGGGAAACCUGAUGCAGCCAUGCCGCGUGAAUGAAGAAGGCCUUCGGGUUGUAAAGUACUUUCGGUAGCGAGGCGGUAACUACAGAAGAAGCACCGGCUAACUACGUGCCAGCAGCCGCGGUAAUUC